RNAcentral lists this ribosomal RNA (1241 nucleotides) under Proanoplomus japonicus. RNAcentral's name for it is "partial 16S ribosomal RNA". Lineage: Eukaryota; Metazoa; Arthropoda; Insecta; Diptera; Tephritidae. The record is from RNAcentral.
GCAAAUCAAUAUAAAUUGAAGUUAUAAUUUAUUUAUUAAUUUUUUUUUGUUGAUAAAUUAUUUUAUUAAAAAUAAUUAUAUAAUUUUUUGUUUUAGUAUUGUUUUAUGAAAUAAUAAUUUUAAUAAUAGUGUAUUAGUAUUGUGAAAUAAUAUUGAAAUAUUUUGAAAAAUUUUUAUUAAAAAAGAAAAUUUAAUUUAUUGUACCUUGUGUGUCAGGGUUUAUUAAAUAAUUAAUAAUUAUUUAUUAAUCUCGAUUUUAUAAGAGUUAAUGGUUUAUUGAAUUCAAUGUGUUAAAAUUAUUUUAAAUAAAUUAUUAGAAAUGAAAUGUUAUUCGUUUAUAAAGUUAUCUAGUUUUUUUAGAAAUAAAUUUAAUUUAUAAGUUUUUGAUUGUUUAAUUAAUUUUUUUUAGUUGAAUAAAUUAUUGAUUUUAAUAUUUUAAGGGAUAAGCUUUAAGAUAAAUUUUUAAAAAUUAAUAAUUUAAUUGUUAAAUGUAUGCUUAUAAUUAGCAAUCAUUUUUAAGUUUGUUAUAAAUUAUUUUUUUUUAUAUAUGUAUUAUAUUUAUAUAAAAAAUAUAUUAUUUAUUAUAUUUUAAUGAUUUUAUAAAAAUUUUUUUAAUAAUAGUUUUUAAUAAUUAAUAAUGGUAAAAUUAGUAUAUAAAUUAUGUUAAUUUAAUUAUUUAUGUUAAGUUUGUAUAAAGAAUUCGGCAAAUAUAUUACUCGCCUGUUUAACAAAAACAUGUCUUUUUGAAUUUUCUUUAAAGUCUGGCCUGCCCACUGAUUUAUUUUAAAUGGCCGCAGUAUUUUAACUGUGCAAAGGUAGCAUAAUCAUUAGUCUUUUAAUUGAAGGCUGGUAUGAAUGGUUGGACGAAGUAUAAGCUGUUUCGUAUAAAUUUUUAUUAGAAUUUUAUAUUUUAGUUAAAAAGCUAAAAUAUUAUUAAAAGACGAGAAGACCCUAUAAAUCUUUAUAAUAUGUGUAAAUUUAAUCUUUUAGUAUAUUUUUGUUAUUAUUAUUAUAUAUUAUUUUAUUGGGGUGAUAUUAAAAUUUAAUUAACUUUUAUUUUUUAGAAUCAUUAAUUUAUGAAUUGUUGAUCCAUUAUUGAUGAUUAUAAGAUUAAGUUACUUUAGGGAUAACAGCGUAAUUUUCUUUGAGAGUUCUUAUCGAUAAGAGAGUUUGCGACCUCGAUGUUGGAUUAAGAUAUAUUUUUAGGUGUAGUAGCUUAAAUAUUAAGUCUGUUCGACUUU